GAAGGAAGAUGGCAGCGUCCUGAGUCCUGAGUGAAGAGAGCAUAGAGUCGAGUAGCCACGGCACCGGAUUGGGAAAAUUAAACAGCAACCGUUUGCAUUGGAGGGAGGGGGGUAGAGGGACUGAAAAAAUUGCAACUUGUAGCGGCUAUCCAGUUCAUGCCAGAAGAUGAAUAUCCUCAAAGACAACAAAGACUUGGCCUGUUUCUACACGACAAAACACUCUUGGAGGGGAAAGUAUAAAAGAGUCUUUUCUGUUGGAACCCACGGCAUCACCACUUACAACCCCGCCACGUUAGAAGUUACCAAUCAGUGGCCUUAUGGGGACAUCUGCGGGAUCACCCCGGUGGGGAAGGGCCAGGGCACGGAGUUCAGCCUCACGUUCCGCAAGGGCAGCGGGAAGAAGUCGGAGACGCUCAAGUUCUCCACCGAGCACAGGAUGGAGCUGCUCACGGAGGCGCUGAGAUUCCGAACGGAUUUCUCGGAGGGCAAGAUAACUGGCAGGCGCUACAACUGUUACAAGCACCACUGGAGCGACUCGCGGCGGUUGGUGGUCCUGGAGGUCACCCCGGGGGGCAUCGACCAGAUCGACCCGCAGACCAACCGCUUGCUGUGCUCCUACGACUACCGAUCGGUGGAGGGCUUCGUGGAAGUCUCCGACUACCAGGGGGGCUUCUGCAUCCUCUACGGGGGCUUCAGCCGGUUGCACCUCUUCGCCUCGGAGCACCGGGACGAGAUCAUCCGCAGCGCGGUGGAGCACGCCGGGAACUUCAUCGGCAUCACGCUGCGGCUGCGCAAGGAGGCGCUCACCUUCGAGGGCUUCGCCGCCGAGCGCUUCGGCAAGUACGGCGCGGACGACUGCAUCACCUCGCUGGCCGAGUUCGUCGUGCAGAAGAUCUCCCCCCGGCACACGGAGCCGGCGAAGAGGAUCCUGGCUCUCACGGAGACCUGUCUGGUGGAGAGGGACCCAGCCUCCUACAACAUCGUCACAAUCAAGCCCUUCGAAGAGGUGUUUGCGCUCGUCUGUGAUGCAGACAACCCCCAGGUCUUCACUGUGGAGUUCAUCAGGGGGCAGAUCAGAAAGUACUCUUCCACAGAAAGAGACUCCCUGAUGGCCAGCCUGCUGGACGGGGUGCGGGCAUCUGGGAACCGGGACGUGUGUGUGAAGAUGGCCCCCACGCAGAGGGGCCAGCGCUGGGGGCUGCUCAGCAUGCCGGUGGACGAGGAGGUGGAGAGCCUGCACCUCAAGUUCCUGGCUGCACCCCCCAAUGGAAACUUUGGGGACGCGGUGUUCAGAUUCAACGCCAACAUCUCCUACAGCGGCGUGCUCCACGCCGUCACGCAAGACGGCCUUUUCUCAGAGAACAAGGAGAAGCUGAUCAACAACGCCAUUCUGGCCCUGCUUUCCCAGGAGACGGAGCUGCCGGGGCCCAACGCCGAGCUGGAGAGCCACUUCCAGGCCAUCCGCCGGCUGGUGGCCUCCAAGGCCGGCUUCCAGGCCUUCACCCAGCUCCCCAAGUCUGGUCAGGUGGCUGGACCCUCGGGCGGAACGUUCCGGGAGAAGCUGGGGGUGAAAACGGUCAAGGCUCUGAAAAGGAACAACAACGGGGUGACGCACGCUGCCAUUGACAUGCUCUGCGCCCUCAUGUGUCCGAUGCAUGAUGACUAUGACCUGCGUCAGGAGCAGCUGAACAAGGCCUCCCUACUCUCCUCCAAGAAAUUCCUGGAGAACCUUCUGGAGAAGUUCAUCAGUAAUGUGGAGCACGGCACCGGUGCACUGGUGAUCAGCUCACUUCUGGACUUCCUGACCUUCUCCCUGUGCGCCCCUUACAGCGAGACCAGCGAGGGCCAGCAGUUCGACAUGCUGCUGGAGAUGGUGGCCUCUAACGGCCGAACCCUCUUCAAGCUCUUCCAGCACCCUUCCAUGGCCAUUGUGAAGGGAGCAGGCCUGGUCAUGAAGGCCAUCAUUGAGGAGGGGGACAAGGAGAUCGCCACGAAAAUGCAGGAGCUGGCUUUGAGCGAGGGAGCCCUUCCCCGACACCUGCACACCUCCAUGUUCACCAUCAGCUCCGACCAGAGGAUGCUCACCAACAGGCAGCUGAGCCGCCACCUGGUGGGACUGUGGACUGCAGAGAACCCCAUCGCCAUGAACCUGCUGAAGAGGAUACUGCCGACAGGUUUGCUGGCAUACCUGGACAGCACCGAGUCAGUGCCUGAGAGAGAUGUGGACAGGAUGCACAUCAGAGACAACCUCAAGAUUGCCACGGACCAGUUUGGACGAAACAAGGUGCCCGAAUGGCAGAGGCUGGCGGGCAAGGCGGCCAAGGAGGUGGAGAAGUUUGCCAAGGAGAAGGCGGACAUCGUGCUGAUGCACUGGAGGGACAAGAUGGGCAUAGCACAGAAGGAGCAGGACAGGAAUAACCUGAACCCAAACCAAAAACCGGUCAUCCUGAGGAAGAGGAGACAGAGGAUCAAGAUCGAAGCCAACUGGGAGCUUUUCUACUAUCGGUUCCAGCUGGAUCACGCAAGGUCCAAUCUGAUCUGGAACCUGAAGACCCGUGAGGAGCUGCGGGAUGCCCUGGAGGGGGAGAUGCGCGCCUUCAGCGUGGACCGGGAGCUGGGCUGCACCAACGUCAUCUCCUGGAACCACCAGGAGUUUGAGGUGAAAUAUGAGUGCCUUUCAGACGAAAUUAAGAUUGGAGAUUAUUACCUACGUCUGCUGCUGGAAGAGGAUGAGAGCGAGGAGUCCGGGGCCAUCAAGAGAUCGUACGAGUUUUUCAACGAGCUGUACCACCGGUUCCUGCUCACGCCCAAGAUCCACAUGAAGUGUCUGUGCCUACAGGCCCUGACCAUCGUCUAUGGGAAGUGCUUUGAGGAGAUCGGGCCCUUCACCGACACCAAGUACAUUGUAGGCAUGCUGGACCGGUGUACAGACCGGCUGGAGCGAGACAGACUCAUCCUCUUCCUCAACAAACUCAUUCUCAACAAGAAAAACGUGAAGGAGGUCAUGGACUCCAACGGAGUGCGCAUUCUAGUGGAUCUGCUGACCCUGGCGCACCUGCACACCAGCCGAGCCACCGUCCCACUCCAGAGCAACGUGAUAGAAGCAUCACCGGAUAUGAAGAGGGACAGUGAGAAGGAGUGGUACUUCGGCAACGCCGACAAGGAAAGGAGGGGCCCCUACAGCUUUGAGGAGAUGCAGGAGUUCUGGAGCCAGGGGACACUGACGGCGAAGACGCGGUGCUGGGCGCAGGGCAUGGACGGGUGGCGCCCCCUGCAGGCCAUCCCGCAGCUGAAGUGGUGCCUUCUGGCCAGCGGGCAGGCGGUGAUGAACGAGACGGACCUGGCCACGCUCAUCCUCAACAUGCUGAACACCAUGUGCUCCUACUUCCCCAGCAGGGACCAGGAUAAUGCCAUCAUUCGCCCUCUUCCUCGGGUCAAGAGACUAAUCAGUGACAACACCUGUCUCCCUCACAUUGUCCAGCUGCUGCUCACAUUUGACCCCAUCCUGGUGGAGAAGGUGGCAAACCUGAUGUAUCAGGUGAUGCAAGACAACCCCAACCUGCAGCGCCUCUACCUCACCGGAGUCUUCUUCUUCAUCAUGAUGUACACUGGCUCCAACGUGCUGCCUGUUGCCCGGUUUCUGAAGUACACUCACCUAAAACAAGCCUUCAAGUCUGAAGAGGCCAAAGGUCAGGACAUUGUCCAGCGUAGCGUGCUGGGUCCGGUGCUGCCAGAGGCUAUGGUGUGUUACCUGGAGAAUUACGAGGCCGAGCGCUUUUCCGAGAUCUUCCUGGGCGAGUUUGACACCCCCGAGGCCAUCUGGAGCAGCGAGAUGAGGAGGAUGAUGAUAGAGAGGAUCGCCGCCCACCUGGCCGAUUUCUCCCCGCGGCUGCAGAGCAACACGCGGGCGCUCUACCAGUACUGCCCCAUCCCCGUGGUCAGCUUCCCCCAGCUGGACAACGAGCUCUUCUGCAACAUCUACUACCUCAGACACCUGUGCGACGCCAACCGCUUCCCCAACUGGCCAAUCCGAGAGCCGGUGAAGCUGCUGAAAGACACCCUGGAGGCCUGGAAGAGGGAGGUGGAGAAGAAGCCGCCCUCCAUGUCUGUGGACGAUGCCUUCGAGGUCCUCAACCUCCCCAAGGGACAGGGCCAGCAUGAGGAGAGCAAGAUCAGGAAAGCCUACUUCCGCCUGGCUCAGAAAUACCAUCCAGACAAGAACCCAGAGGGCCGGGACAUGUUUGAGAAGGUGAACAAGGCCUACGAGUUUCUGUGCACCAAGUCGGCGCGCAUCACAGACGGGCCCGACCCAGAGAACAUAAUCCUCAUCCUCAAGGCCCAGAGCAUCCUCUUUAACAGGCACCGGCAAGAGCUGGAGCCCUACAAGUACGCCGGCUACCCCAUGCUCAUCAAGACCAUCACCAUGGAGACGGGCGACGGGCAGCUCUUCUCCAAGACCUCCCCGCUGCUCCCUGCCGCCGCCGAGCUGGCCUUCCACACGGUCAACUGCUCCGCCCUCAACGCCGAGGAGCUGAGGAGAGAGAGCGGCAUCGAGGUGCUGUUGGAGGCUCUGUCUCGCUGCGUCGCCGUGCUCACUGCCUCCAGCAAGCCCAACGACAUGGCCGUGCAGGUGUGCGGGCACAUCUGUAAAUGCUACAGCGUGGCCGCCCAGUUCGAGGAGUGCAGGGAGAAGAUCAUCGAGCUUCCCAACAUCAUCCGAGACCUUUGCCAUGUGCUCUAUUAUGCAAAGGGCCUCCCCCGCCUGGCAGCCCUGGCGGUGCAGUGCAUCAGCUCCUUCGCCGUGGACUUCUUCCUGCAGACGCACCUCUACCACGCCGGCGUCCUCUGGCACCUGCUGGUCAACCUCUUCAACUACGACUACACGCUGGAGGAGAGCGGCAUCCAGAAGAGCCAGGACACCAACCAGCAGGAGGUGGCCAACAGCCUGGCCAAGCUGAGCCUGGUGGCCCUCAGCCGGCUGGGCGGCUACAGCCCCGGCCCCAGCCCCGAGGAGGAGGGGGCCAACGGCGUGGACGGGACCCCUCCAGAGAACCCCACCGUCCGGAAGAGUCUGUCCGCCAUGCUGACGCCCUACAUCUCCCGGAAGCUGGGCUCCAGCUCCCCCGCUGAGGUCCUGAAGCUGCUGAACAGUAACUCGGAGAACCCCUACCUGAUCUGGAACAACGGCACUCGGGCCGAGCUGCUGGAGUUCCUGGAGGAACAGCAGGAGAGCAACAUCAAGAGGGGCGAGUGCGACAAGAACUUUGGGUCAGAAUUCAUUUUCACCGACCACGGCAAGGAGCUGAUCGUGGGCGAGAUCUUCGUCAGAGUCUACAACGAGCAGCCAGCCUUUCCCCUAGAGUUCCCCAAGGCGUUUGCGGCCAGCCUGCUGGAUUACGUGGGCUCCCAGGCUCAGUACCUGUACACCCUGCUGGCUAUGACCCAGGCCAGCAAGGUGGAGUCCCAGCAGCACGCACAGAGGCUCCGCUGGGCCGAAAUGGCCCUGGAGGCCCUCCGCAACGUCAUCAAGAACAACCCGGGCUCGGAGUCGGAGUGCAUCGGCCACUUCAAGCUGCUGUUCUCUCUGCUGCGGGUCCAUGGAGCAGGAAAGGUCCAGCAGCUGGCUCUCGAGGUGGUGAACACGGUCACCAUGAACCAGGAAUGCGUCAGCAGCAUCGGCGACUCCCUGGUGCUCUCCAACCUCCUGGUGCUGCUCCACUCCAUGCCCUCCAGCCGACAGCUGGUGCUGGAAACCCUGUAUGCCUUGACGUCCAACACUAAAAUUAUCAAAGAGGCCAUGGCUAAAGGUGCACUGAUCUACCUGCUGGACCUCUUCUGUAACUCCACCCACCCCCAGGUGCGCAGUCAGACUGCCGAGCUCUUUGCCAAGAUGACCUCCGACAAGCUGGUGGGGCCCAAGGUGCGCCUGACGCUCAUGCGCUUCCUUCCGGGCGUGUUCAUGGAGGCCAUGCGGGACAACGCUGAGGCGGCAGUGCACAUCUUUGAGGGAACGCACGAAAACCCCGAGCUCAUCUGGAACGACAGCUCCCGGGAAACCGUCUCCACCACCGUCCGAGAGAUGAUGCUGGAGCACUUUAAACAGCAAAAGGAUAAUCCUGAUGUCAACUGGAAACUUCCAGAAGACUUCACGGUGGCGUACGGGGCAGGGCAGGGUGAGCUGGCCGUGGGCGGAGUCUUCCUGCGCAUCUUCAUUGCGCAGCCAGGCUGGGUGCUGCGCAAACCUCGGGAGUUCCUGGUGUCUCUGCUGGAGACCCUGACUGAGCUGCUGGAGAAGAACAACCCCAACGGCGAGGCCUUGGAAACGGUAACCACGGCGGCAGUGUGUCUCUUCAGCACUCAGACCCAGCUGGCCGAUCAGGUCCCUCCCCUGGGCCACCUGCCCCGCGUUCUGGCAGCACUCAACCACAAGAACAACGCCGUGCCCAAGAGCUCCAUCCGCCUCAUCCACGUGCUCUCCGACAACGAGCUGUGCGUUCGCUCCAUGGCCGCCUUGGAGACCAUCGGGCCCCUGAUGACCGGGAUGAAAGUGCGGGCCGACAUGGCAGGGCUAGCUUGUGAGGCGCUCAACAGAAUGUUCCAGAAGGAGCAGACUGACCUUGUGGCACAGGCCCUGAGGGUGGAGCUUGUGCCCUACCUGCUCCGCCUACUAGAAGGGGUGGGGCUGGAGACGCUGGACAACCCCUCUGCCACCAAAGCGCAGAUCGUCAAGGCCCUGAAGUCCAUGACGCGCAGCUUGCAGUAUGGAGACCAGGUGAACGAAAUCCUCUCUCGUUCCACUGUGUGGAGUGCCUUCAAAGACCAGAAACAUGACCUCUUCAUCUCCGAUUCUCAGACUGCUGGGUAUCUCACAGGUGUGUCGACCCCCUCCCUCCUGGCCGCCAGCAGCCCCCUGCGAAGCGGGCUGUAGACGCCGUGGCGGGGGGCCUCCUUGCCCUCCUCUCUCUUACUCUGGCGCAGGUCCAGGAGUAGCGGGCUACCUAACGGCUGGGACAGGCUCCACGGUCAUGCCCAGCGUACCACCGCCCGUGGACAAUGACAUCGGGGACCUGGGCUGACGGACAGACGGACGGACAGACCGAUGCACCCAAGCAGAGAGACUGCCCCGCGUACCUAGGAUGCAGCUCCGUUCAGACUGUACAGCACAGAGAAAGAUGGGAAGAGGACGGGGGGGGCAGGGACCGGCUCACAGACUCACGAAGACUGUCCCCGCCCCCCACACCCCCCAACAAAAUGUCCUCCAAACAGCACCCGCUCUCUUCUUUAGCAUUAUUUUUGUUAAUUUUAAAUAAAUGGCACUUUUUUGCGCUGUUUUUUUUUUUUUUGUUCUUUCCUCCUUUGUUUCCAACAAGAUGAGCAUAGUUUACUUUUGUAUUAAUAUAUUUUUUACUCUUUUUUUGUGCGUGUGAAAUAUCAACCGAAGACUGAAGAUGUCAUCAUAUGUUGGACCUGACUCCCUCUUUCUCUUCCUCCGCUUACGGCUCUGAGAGACUGCCCUACCCUGACCAGUACCACCUAGCCACGCCCUGAUUUUGCAGGAAGUGCCCAGCCUAGCUGUAUGCAGUGGAUCCAGGCAACUUUUCUUUUUUUUUUUUCUUACAGUACUUAAAACAUGAUGUUUGUCGGUUUACAAGACUGUGGUCCUGAUAUGAAUCAUUUUCCUAAUUUUUUUUAUAUUGUUGUUUUAUAGUGUUGUAUGGAAAAGAAAAAGAAAUUCUCACAGCUGUGGUAUUUUAUUGCCGUUACCUUGUUCUGGCAAGAGCUAGACGGAGCGGAGUGUUUAGUCAGAAUGGACGUCUAGACUGGCCCUUGUCUGCUCAGCUCUGGGCGUGGUGGACGCUGCUCUGUUGGCAGUUUCUCAUCCAUGUUAUACUUGUGAUCAAGUUCUGCACUUCUUUACUGUCGCUCUGUCCUUUCCUCUAUAAACAAAACCUUUCGUACAUUGUUUUCCUUCUCCAGACCGCAAAAAGCACUAGAAUAUUUAUACCUAGUUAAUAAUGACCUUUACAAACAAGCUUCAGCAGAGACAAAAAAGAGGAACAAUAAUAUCAACUCUGAUUAUAAAACUAUGUGAACGACUAGUGCAAUUGUGAAAUGUUCAUGUAAUAUGCCGUAUAUAAACUUUCUAUAUUGAAUGUACAUUUAAAAAAAUAAAUCGGUCGCACUUGUACAUAAAAUUUUAAGAAUAAACAAAGGGAAUCCAUAGUA
Molecule: RNA transcript, 8226 nt
Organism: Anguilla anguilla (European eel)
Lineage: Eukaryota; Metazoa; Chordata; Actinopteri; Anguilliformes; Anguillidae
Gene name: dnaJ homolog subfamily C member 13
Exons: 58
Source: RefSeq, a predicted model, not a curated record